GUAGUUACAUGAAAGUUAGUGGGAGGGUCCUAUACUGACAUCAGUUAUGAUGUGGUUAAUAUAGAACUUUUUUUUCAAAGACCUAGGUCAAACAUUCUAAAAAUAAAAGUCUAUAAAGAUAGAUCCUAAAAGGAUGUUUGGUUUUUACAGACAAAUACAUAGAAGAGGUGUUGAAAGGAUUCAGUAUUAAAACCUUCAAGAG
RNAcentral lists this long non-coding RNA (202 nucleotides) under Elaeis guineensis (African oil palm). RNAcentral's name for it is "long non-coding RNA (EGUI_LNC058556)". Lineage: Eukaryota; Viridiplantae; Streptophyta; Magnoliopsida; Arecales; Arecaceae. The record is from RNAcentral.